This 198-nucleotide ribosomal RNA is filed under the name uncultured bacterium. RNAcentral's name for it is "partial 16S ribosomal RNA". It matches the Rfam family "Bacterial small subunit ribosomal RNA", at positions 328 to 539 of the family's 1533-position model. The record is from RNAcentral.
ACGCUCGACACCUACGGGGGCAGCAGUUGGGAAUAUUGGACAAUGGAGGAAACUCUGAUCCAGUGACGCCGCGUGAAGGAAGAAGGUCUUCGGAUUGUAAACUUAUUUUGUCAGGGAAGAAAAAUGACUGUACCUGAAGAAAAAGCACCGGCUAACUACGUGCCAGCAGCUGCGGUAAUCUGAGCGGGCUGGCAAGGC